GAUUUGCUCUGGCUCCUAUUUUCACGUAUAAACGAUACAGAGAAGAUUAGCAUGGCCCCUGCGCAAGGAUGACACGCAAAAUCGUGAAGCGUUCCACAUUUUU
This is a small nuclear RNA of Schistocerca piceifrons (Central American locust), 103 nucleotides long. The record is from RefSeq and is a predicted model, not a curated record. NCBI's taxonomy places the organism in Eukaryota, Metazoa, Arthropoda, Insecta, Orthoptera, Acrididae.